GCAGUCGAACGGAGCUGAGAGGAGCUUGCUUUUCUUAGCUUAGUGGCGAACGGGUGAGUAACGCGUGAGUAACCUGCCCUGGAGUGGGGGACAACAGUUGGGAACGACUGCUAAUACCGCAUAAGCCCACGGAUCCGCAUGGAUCUGCGGGAAAAGGAUUUAUUCGCUUCAGGAUGGACUCGCGUCCAAUUAGCUAGUUGGUGAGGUAACGGCCCACCAAGGCGACGAUUGGUAGCCGGACUGAGAGGUUGAACGGCCACAUUGGGACUGAGACACGGCCCAGACUCCUACGGGAGGCAGCAGUGGGGGAUAUUGCACAAUGGGGGAAACCCUGAUGCAGCGACGCCGCGUGGAGGAAGAAGGUUUUCGGAUUGUAAACUCCUGUCGUUAGGGACGAUAAUGACGGUACCUAACAAGAAAGCACCGGCUAACUACGUGCCAGCAGCCGCGGUAAAACGUAGGGUGCAAGCGUUGUCCGGAAUUACUGGGUGUAAGGGGAGCGCAGGCGGACCGGCAAGUUGGAAGUGAAAACUAUGGGCUCAACCCAUAAAUUGCUUUCAAAACUGCUGGCCUUGAGUAGUGCAGAGGUAGGUGGAAUUCCCGGUGUAGCGGUGGAAUGCGUAGAUAUCGGGAGGAACACCAGUGGCGAAGGCGACCUACUGGGCACCAACUGACGCUGAGGCUCGAAAGCAUGGGUAGCAAACAGGAUUAGAUACCCUGGUAGUCCAUGCCGUAAACGAUGAUUACUAGGUGUUGGAGGAUUGACCCCUUCAGUGCCGCAGUUAACACAAUAAGUAAUCCACCUGGGGAAUACGACCGCAAGGUUGAAACUCAAAGGAAUUGACGGGGGCCCGCACAAGCAGUGAAGUAUGUG
RNAcentral lists this ribosomal RNA (874 nucleotides) under uncultured bacterium. Its description in RNAcentral is "bacterial SSU rRNA". It matches the Rfam family "Bacterial small subunit ribosomal RNA", at positions 57 to 943 of the family's 1533-position model. The record is from RNAcentral.